This 2904-nucleotide ribosomal RNA is filed under the name Escherichia coli. RNAcentral describes it as "23S ribosomal RNA". It matches the Rfam family "Bacterial large subunit ribosomal RNA". Lineage: Bacteria; Pseudomonadati; Pseudomonadota; Gammaproteobacteria; Enterobacterales; Enterobacteriaceae. The record is from RNAcentral.
GGUUAAGCGACUAAGCGUACACGGUGGAUGCCCUGGCAGUCAGAGGCGAUGAAGGACGUGCUAAUCUGCGAUAAGCGUCGGUGAGGUGAUAUGAACCGUUAUAACCGGCGAUUUCCGAAUGGGGAAACCCAGUGUGUUUCGACACACUAUCAUUAACUGAAUCCAUAGGUUAAUGAGGCGAACCGGGGGAACUGAAACAUCUAAGUACCCCGAGGAAAAGAAAUCAACCGAGAUUCCCCCAGUAGCGGCGAGCGAACGGGGAGGAGCCCAGAGCCUGAAUCAGUGUGUGUGUUAGUGGAAGCGUCUGGAAAGGCGUGCGAUACAGGGUGACAGCCCCGUACACAAAAAUGCACAUAUUGUGAGCUCGAUGAGUAGGGCGGGACACGUGGUAUCCUGUCUGAAUAUGGGGGGACCAUCCUCCAAGGCUAAAUACUCCUGACUGACCGAUAGUGAACCAGUACCGUGAGGGAAAGGCGAAAAGAACCCCGGCGAGGGGAGUGAAAAAGAACCUGAAACCGUGUACGUACAAGCAGUGGGAGCCUCUUAAUGGGGUGACUGCGUACCUUUUGUAUAAUGGGUCAGCGACUUAUAUUCUGUAGCAAGGUUAACCGAAUAGGGGAGCCGAAGGGAAACCGAGUCUUAACUGGGCGUUAAGUUGCAGGGUAUAGACCCGAAACCCGGUGAUCUAGCCAUGGGCAGGUUGAAGGUUGGGUAACACUAACUGGAGGACCGAACCGACUAAUGUUGAAAAAUUAGCGGAUGACUUGUGGCUGGGGGUGAAAGGCCAAUCAAACCGGGAGAUAGCUGGUUCUCCCCGAAAGCUAUUUAGGUAGCGCCUCGUGAAUUCAUCUCCGGGGGUAGAGCACUGUUUCGGCAAGGGGGUCAUCCCGACUUACCAACCCGAUGCAAACUGCGAAUACCGGAGAAUGUUAUCACGGGAGACACACGGCGGGUGCUAACGUCCGUCGUGAAGAGGGAAACAACCCAGACCGCCAGCUAAGGUCCCAAAGUCAUGGUUAAGUGGGAAACGAUGUGGGAAGGCCCAGACAGCCAGGAUGUUGGCUUAGAAGCAGCCAUCAUUUAAAGAAAGCGUAAUAGCUCACUGGUCGAGUCGGCCUGCGCGGAAGAUGUAACGGGGCUAAACCAUGCACCGAAGCUGCGGCAGCGACACUAUGUGUUGUUGGGUAGGGGAGCGUUCUGUAAGCCUGUGAAGGUGGCCUGUGAGGGUUGCUGGAGGUAUCAGAAGUGCGAAUGCUGACAUAAGUAACGAUAAAGCGGGUGAAAAGCCCGCUCGCCGGAAGACCAAGGGUUCCUGUCCAACGUUAAUCGGGGCAGGGUGAGUCGACCCCUAAGGCGAGGCCGAAAGGCGUAGUCGAUGGGAAACAGGUUAAUAUUCCUGUACUUGGUGUUACUGCGAAGGGGGGACGGAGAAGGCUAUGUUGGCCGGGCGACGGUUGUCCCGGUUUAAGCGUGUAGGCUGGUUUUCCAGGCAAAUCCGGAAAACCAAGGCUGAGGCGUGAUGACGAGGCACUACGGUGCUGAAGUGACAAAUGCCCUGCUUCCAGGAAAAGCCUCUAAGCAUCAGGUAACAUCAAAUCGUACCCCAAACCGACACAGGUGGUCAGGUAGAGAAUACCAAGGCGCUUGAGAGAACUCGGGUGAAGGAACUAGGCAAAAUGGUGCCGUAACUUCGGGAGAAGGCACGCUGAUAUGUAGGUGAAGCGACUUGCUCGUGGAGCUGAAAUCAGUCGAAGAUACCAGCUGGCUGCAACUGUUUAUUAAAAACACAGCACUGUGCAAACACGAAAGUGGACGUAUACGGUGUGACGCCUGCCCGGUGCCGGAAGGUUAAUUGAUGGGGUUAGCGGUAACGCGAAGCUCUUGAUCGAAGCCCCGGUAAACGGCGGCCGUAACUAUAACGGUCCUAAGGUAGCGAAAUUCCUUGUCGGGUAAGUUCCGACCUGCACGAAUGGCGUAAUGAUGGCCAGGCUGUCUCCACCCGAGACUCAGUGAAAUUGAACUCGCUGUGAAGAUGCAGUGUACCCGCGGCAAGACGGAAAGACCCCGUGAACCUUUACUAUAGCUUGACACUGAACAUUGAGCCUUGAUGUGUAGGAUAGGUGGGAGGCUUUGAAGUGUGGACGCCAGUCUGCAUGGAGCCGACCUUGAAAUACCACCCUUUAAUGUUUGAUGUUCUAACGUUGGCCCGUAAUCCGGGUUGCGGACAGUGUCUGGUGGGUAGUUUGACUGGGGCGGUUUCCUCCUAAAGAGUAACGGAGGAGCACGAAGGUUGGCUAAUCCUGGUCGGACAUCAGGAGGUUAGUGCAAUGGCAUAAGCCAGCUUGACUGCGAGCGUGACGGCGCGAGCAGGUGCGAAAGCAGGUCAUAGUGAUCCGGUGGUUCUGAAUGGAAGGGCCAUCGCUCAACGGAUAAAAGGUACUCCGGGGAUAACAGGCUGAUACCGCCCAAGAGUUCAUAUCGACGGCGGUGUUUGGCACCUCGAUGUCGGCUCAUCACAUCCUGGGGCUGAAGUAGGUCCCAAGGGUAUGGCUGUUCGCCAUUUAAAGUGGUACGCGAGCUGGGUUUAGAACGUCGUGAGACAGUUCGGUCCCUAUCUGCCGUGGGCGCUGGAGAACUGAGGGGGGCUGCUCCUAGUACGAGAGGACCGGAGUGGACGCAUCACUGGUGUUCGGGUUGUCAUGCCAAUGGCACUGCCCGGUAGCUAAAUGCGGAAGAGAUAAGUGCUGAAAGCAUCUAAGCACGAAACUUGCCCCGAGAUGAGUUCUCCCUGACUCCUUGAGAGUCCUGAAGGAACGUUGAAGACGACGACGUUGAUAGGCCGGGUGUGUAAGCGCAGCGAUGCGUUGAGCUAACCGGUACUAAUGAACCGUGAGGCUUAACCUU